This 274-nucleotide ribosomal RNA is filed under the name uncultured bacterium. RNAcentral describes it as "partial 16S ribosomal RNA". It matches the Rfam family "Bacterial small subunit ribosomal RNA", at positions 355 to 621 of the family's 1533-position model. The record is from RNAcentral.
UGGGGAAUAUUGCACAAUGGGCGCAAGCCUGAUGCAGCCAUGCCGCGUGUGUGAAGAAGGCCUUCGGGUUGUAAAGCACUUUCAGCGAGGAGGAAGGGUAGUGUGUUAAUAGCACAUUGCAUUGACGUUACUCGCAGAAGAAGCACCGGCUAACUCCGUGCCAGCAGCCGCGGUAAUACGGAGGGUGCAAGCGUUAAUCGGAAUUACUGGGCGUAAAGCGCACGCAGGCGGUUUGUUAAGUCAGAUGUGAAAUCCCCGCGCUUAACGCGGAACU